This 271-nucleotide long non-coding RNA is filed under the name Malurus cyaneus samueli. RNAcentral describes it as "lncRNA (ENSMCSG00000011576.1)". The record is from RNAcentral. Lineage: Eukaryota; Metazoa; Chordata; Aves; Passeriformes; Maluridae.
AUGGGCUCGGUUUCUGUUGUUGCCAGGGUGAAAACGGCACCCCAGGUGCUCCUGGGCCUCCUGGUGAGGAAGGGAAAAGAGGUGCAAAUGGUGAACCCGGGCAGAAUGGAGUACCUGGUACCCCUGGAGAAAGGGGAUCCCCUGGUUUCCGUGGCUUACCCGGUAGCAAUGGACUUCCUGGUGAAAAGGGCCCUGCUGGUGAGCGUGGUAGCCCAGGUCCCCCCGGCCCCAGCGGACCUGCUGGAGAGCGUGGACAAGACGGUGGCCCAGG